This is a small nuclear RNA of Python bivittatus (Burmese python), 104 nucleotides long. Lineage: Eukaryota; Metazoa; Chordata; Lepidosauria; Squamata; Pythonidae. The record is from RefSeq and is a predicted model, not a curated record.
UUACUCACUUUGGCAGCACAUAUACUAAAAUUGGAAUGAUACAAAGUUUAGCAUGGCCCCUACAUAAGGAUGACAUGCAAAUUCUUGAAGUGUUCCAUACAAAU